RNAcentral lists this long non-coding RNA (312 nucleotides) under Elaeis guineensis (African oil palm). RNAcentral's name for it is "long non-coding RNA (EGUI_LNC032172)". The record is from RNAcentral. Lineage: Eukaryota; Viridiplantae; Streptophyta; Magnoliopsida; Arecales; Arecaceae.
GGGACUCUUUAUUAGAUGGCUAUUUUAAACCCAAUAAAAUAUCAAUAAAUUUUAAUCAUAUUAGGACUAGAUUAGACUCAAAUAAAUAAAAAUUUAAAUCUGAUUUAGAGCUCAAUUUAUUUAGAUUAGAUGUCUCCUAAUUGGAGGAGGAGUCCUAAUCCAAUUAGACUCUUUCUUGGUGCUUGAGUCAAACUCAAUUUUUAAUCCUAAUCCUAUUAGAAUUUGAUGCAUCCAUGAAAAUAAAGAUUUCUAGUCUAAUUAAAAAUACAUACAUCCUAAUCUAAUUAGAAAUUGGGUCAAAUCCAAAUCCUA